Molecule: ribosomal RNA, 459 nt
Filed under: uncultured bacterium
Lineage: Bacteria
Description: partial 16S ribosomal RNA
Rfam family: Bacterial small subunit ribosomal RNA
Source: RNAcentral
CCUACGGGCGGCAGCAGUGAGGAAUAUUGGUCAAUGGCCGUACGGCUGAACCAGCCAAGUCGCGUGAGGGACGACUGCCCUAUGGGUUGUAAACCUCUUUUAUAAGGGAAGAAUAAAUGCUACGUGUAGCAUGAUGCCUGUACCCUAUGAAUAAGCAUCGGCUAAAUCCGUGCCCGCAGCCGCGGUAAUACGGAGGAUGCGAGCGUUAUCCGGGUUUAUUGGGUUUAAAGGGUGAGUAGGCGGUUUUUGAAGUUAGGGGUUAAACGUCGGGGCUUCACAUUUAUUUGCCGUUAAUACUGUAAGACUCGAGUUCAGACGAGGUAGGCGGAAUAAGUUAAGUAGCGGUGAAAUGCUUAGAUAUAACUUAGAACUCCGAUAGCGAAGGCAGCUUACCAGACUGCGACUGACGCUGAAGCACGAGAGCGUGGGUAGCGAACAGGAUUAGAUACCCCUGUAGUC